AAAAUCUCUCAGUUGUUCGAUUUUGACCUCAUAGUUUCAAUUACGUGAUUAUGGUCUCUCAUAUUUAACCAAAAGUACUCACAAAAAUGAUCAAUACACUUUAUAACUAAAGGUGUUAUCACCUUUGGACAAUCAUCUUUAGAAACACAUGGAAUGUUAGCUGCAUUUUCAAAAUUAGAAAGCAAAGAAAGUUACUAAAAUGUGACCAAAAUAUUGUGUAUAAGACAAAAUUAGAAAAAUUGAAAAUGGUAUAAAAAAUGGCAUACUUAUUUCCGCCUUUUUAACAAGAAACUGAGAAAGAAGGAUGAUCAAAACAAAAACAAACAUGAGAUAUUGAGCCAUUUUUUCCUCCUUUGCAUGUAUUAGAGAGAUUGGUUUAUUAGUACAAAUUUCAUACUUUGUUAACUUCAAUUAAAUAGUUUAAUUUAACACUAAAAAUUUGUAAGAAGCAAUUUAAAAAAUGGUGAUUAUUGUAUCCGUCUUUAAUCAAUAUGUCACAUGUAUCCCUUCAGCUCAUUCAAUUCAUCACUAAAAUUUAGUAAAUAUAUCACAUAAACUUUUUGAUAUUCAUCAAGGUUCAUUAUUUUUUUAAUAAUCUUGAUUAUACAUAUAUAUAUUUUUCUUUAUAUAUUUUAGCCUUUUAUAAAAGAAGGUAAAGAAUUAUAAAAAAAAAAAUAGAUAUAUGAAUAACGCUUCUAAGAGGUGACCACACAUUUUUUAUAAAGAUACUAUUGGGCUAUUUUUCAUACGAUAUUUUAUAUUAAAGUGAUGUACUCUAUCAAUUUGAAUGAAUAAAUAUCAUAUAUUUUUAUGUGAAAAAAUAUAUUCAACAUGAAUGUUGUAUGAGUUGAGUAAAUGUUGUGCUAUCAUGUACAAGAAAUCAAUAAGAAUUAAAUCAAAAAAUUAUAUAUGGGGUGUAGUAUUGUCACUGUAUCGACAUAAAUGUAAACAAAAUAAAAAAUCUAGAAUUAGAUUCAAAAAGUGAGUGAGUGUGCUUUGGUUUUCUUAUAACGUACAUGUACUAGUACUAGCAUAUAAAAGGACCGGUAUACAAGAGAGAGGUGUGGUGUGACAGAAAGGCUUAUUAAGCUUUAGGUUUCUCAAUGCGAUAUAUUUCUAAAUGUGAAAAUUAUAAACAAACCUUAAGUUUCCAUCACAUCCAAAUGUUCUUCCUGAGACCUUGUUAAUUCACGCGCGAUGCUAGCAAAAUGACUGUUGUAUCCUGUAGGGCACUAGCUAUGAGACCAUCCACAUCAGGUGAUUCAUCUGUGGUGGAGAAAUACUCUUAACUCCUGUGCAUUUUCACGCUUCAGAUCAACAAAUUCGAUAAAUUUUUCUACUAUAUAUUUUUAUUUAUUACUAGUCAAUUUAUUUAUGCUAAUAUUUAUCUUUGAUUUAUUGUUAACGAUAAUUCUAUGUCAUAACUUUUCCCACAAAAUACACGUACUUUGUCACAUAUACAUAUAACAUUAGAAGAUUGAACUCUAAUUGCUUGUCACUGCCAACGUACACUCAUAAAUGAUGCUAUAGUAGUGGUUUUGAUCUGCAUGAAAUUUUUAUUCAAGAUAUAAUUUUUUUUUAGUGAUGACCGAGGUUUGAAUUCCGAACCUAACAUAUAUUAUGUAUUAUCUAAAUAAAUUAAGUUAAGUUUACGAGGACAUCUAAGAUAUAAUUAGACCUACGGCAUUUUCAUCAUACUGCAAAGCAAAAUAUAAUUAAGUAUUUCGCCUUCCAAUCUAUCCAGAUCCAUACCUAUACAAUUUGUCUAUACUAUUAGACCUAGUUAAUCUAAACUUGUCUAUAUUUGUGUGUACAUAGUGAUUAAUUAUGCUUAUACCUUUUGAGGGUAAACCAAUUGUAGAUUUGUGACUUGUGACAAUCAUUUUCAAAGUUAAAUAUGUUGUGAUAAUUUGAAGCAAAAUACUAUUAUUUAACGAUGAAUGCUUGUCAAUGAUUAAAAAUGCAUUCUUGUGUGAUACGUUGGUGUGGCCAUUGCUUGGUGUUGCUGCUUGUUUGAGAACUUGAAAACUUGUGACUUCAGAGAAUUACGUCGUAUUGAUUUUGCAAGAAGUUUUUGACAUUUUCAUUGAAUGGUUUCCAUCGUUGAAUCCAAAAAAAAUCCACCAAAAUAUAUUUUGGAAAGGAGGAAAAGAUAAUGUAGCGUUAUGUAUUAUGUCAAAUAUUUUAUGUCUGUCCCCCCGUAAACAUUACUCAGCUGGCAAGAACGAUGCAUUAUUAUAUGCGUGAGACUCGAACCCCAAAGCAUAACUGUUCUACAUGGAUGUAGUUUUUUUUGUGAAUCAUAAAUGUACUACCAAUGUGAUGUAAAAAUAUUAUGACAUAUAAAUACAAUUAUAUAUUUAUCAAUAAAAAAGGUGAAUAGAAAUCACAAGGCAAGAAGACAUGCCAUACAAGCUGACACACCAACUUCUCACAAUCAUCUACAACAUCUCAAAGCAAUGAGACAAAGCUUGGUGAAGGAAAAUAGAAUGUAGAUCAUACAAAUACAAUUAAAUUGAAAGUCAGAGAAAUAUAAAUCAAACUUUGAAGCAAAUUAAAAACAUUAUGAUGGGUAAACAAUAUGCUUAAAUAAACCCUUCAAAAAAAAAAAUGCUUAAAUAAACUUUUGCCCUAUAAAAUUUCUCAAUUGUUCGAUUUUGACCUCGUAGUUACAAUUACGUGAUUAUGGCCCAUCAUAUUUAACCAAAAGUACUCACAAAAAUGAUCAAUACACUUUAUAACUAAAGGUUUUACAACCUUUGGACAAUCAUCUUUAGAAACACAUGGAAUGUUAGCUGCAUUUUCAAGAUUAGAACGAAAAAGAAGUUACUAAAUUGUGAGUAAAUAUUGUGUAUUAGACAAAAUUAGAAAAAUUGAAAAUGGUGUAAAAAAUGGUAUACUUAUUUCCGCCUUUUCAACAAGAAAUAUAGAAAGAAGGAUGAUCAAAACAUAAACAAACAUGAGAUAUUGAACCAUAUUUUUCCUCCUUUGCAUGUAAUAAAGAGAUUUUUUAUCGUUUUACUUGUAGAAAUUUCAUACCAUGUUAACUUCAAUUAAAUAGUUUUUAACACCUAGA
Molecule: long non-coding RNA, 3076 nt
Filed under: Medicago truncatula (barrel medic)
Lineage: Eukaryota; Viridiplantae; Streptophyta; Magnoliopsida; Fabales; Fabaceae
Description: long non-coding RNA (MTRU_LNC004515)
Source: RNAcentral